UACAGAGGUCCCCAAGCGUUGUUCGGAUUUACUGGGCGUAAAGGGUGCGUAGGCGGCCGACCAAGUUUGAUGUGAAAUCUCAGUGCUUAACUCUGAAAAUGCAUCGAAAACUGGUUGGCUAGAGGAAUGGAGGGGAGAUUGGAAUUCUCGGUGUAGCAGUGAAAUGCGUAGAUAUCGAGAGGAACACCAGUGGCGAAGGCGAAUCUCUGGACAUAUCCUGACGCUGAGGCACGAAAGCUAGGGGAGCAAACGGGAUUAGAACCUCGUAGU
RNAcentral lists this ribosomal RNA (270 nucleotides) under uncultured bacterium. Its description in RNAcentral is "partial 16S ribosomal RNA". It matches the Rfam family "Bacterial small subunit ribosomal RNA", at positions 524 to 794 of the family's 1533-position model. The record is from RNAcentral.